Molecule: long non-coding RNA, 1245 nt
Organism: Argiope bruennichi
Lineage: Eukaryota; Metazoa; Arthropoda; Arachnida; Araneae; Araneidae
Exons: 4
Source: RefSeq, a predicted model, not a curated record
AGCGUCGAUAAUAGUUGGUAUCGUGUUAAUAUUGAAUAGUGACGUAGACAUAAUGAAGACGUAGUGACGUGGCAUAGUGAAAUAGAUUAUUAGUUGCAAAGAUUUUUGGUAUAGUGUUGUCUCACUUCGACUUCGUCUGAAUCUUGAAAAAGCAAACUUCGACUGCCUUGGGAUUGAGACAGACUCCUGUUAAUCUGAAUAAGGCAAUUUUUCUCGUGCUUCUCUCGUUAUUCAAUCAGUCAUCUCAUCUGCUAUUGCCUGGAUACUUGGUUAGUCGAGAAAUUCCGAAUAAAUUCUGGGAUUUUAUAAGACUUACUAUGCAAGAAUCGACUAAUAUAAAGUUAAUGCCAAAACGAAAUGGAAGCAGACUUCCGUAACCAUCUGCUGGUGUUAUUCUAGUUGCAUCAAGGAUAAAGGUGGAUCGGGGGAUGCACUGAGCUAUACUGGACGAAUACGACGGAUUGUUGGUUCUUUCAUAACCAAAUGUAUAUACUGCAAGCUGCUGUCCGAGGAACCUGACCAGAUAAGUUCCUUUAGUAUCUGUUGGUCCUGAAAUCCCCAAAUUUCAAGCUUCGACUUGUUUGCUCUUCCCAAGCAGUUCGGAAAGUUUCUUCUGAAAAUCCAGUCCAGAAGGUCCCAAGUAAUCGAAUUGAACAUGGAGUUCAGGAGUUAUCUGGGGUCAAGAUAUUUUGCUUACAUGUUUUAUGUCAAUACCUUAAAUUCAAAGUGUACAUCAUCGAUAGAGUUGAAAAUCGUAUGGAGAGAUUAAUAGCUUUUAUAAGGAAAACUAUAUUUAGCAGCAAUGCCAUUCAAAGCGAACUUUGUAGGGAUGCAGAUAAAUCUGAUAUAGUUCCCGAAAGAAUUUGAGGCCAUCCUCCGAGACUAAAGGACUUCUGCACAAGCCAGGCUGUCAUGGAUGAUGCACUGGUGCUCCCCCAAUCUGCUCACUUCAUGCGUGUGACGUCUAUAACCGAGUCGACUACCCGAGUGGCUGUCAUCGUCACCAAUAAUCAACAUGCGCGAUGAUUCCCUGUAGUGCUUCUUGCAGCAUACAGUGCACCCACGAAUUUGGACAAGGCUCUCUGCAUUGGAAAGCGUACUUUAUGAAAGUACUCCAGAAGUGACCACGCAAGGCUCUCUUCUAAAUUCUGUCAUUUUUAAAAUGUGACUGUCGGAAGAUUAUGAACAGUUUGGCAACUUGUGUAAUGAGAAUUUCUCAUAUGAGCUAGAAAUUGCAUUUUUCAA